GGCAGUUCCUUCUCCUGGCUUACCAGAGCAGGCAUGUUGUGGGGGAAUGUUGGCACAUUUCCAAUGAAGUGACAAUAAUGCAAGGAAAAAGGAGGGCCCCCAUGUGGCUCAUAAACUCUACUACCAGACCAUCAUUAUAAAGAGUUAGUUUUAUCAGUUGGAGGGGGAGCUCUUGGACAAUCAGUAAAUACCUAAGUAGGUAGUAAGGGGAGUUUGGGCAAUUGAGUUUUUGUAGAGUCUUGAGUCAUUGUGUGGUACCUCAGCUGAUGAUAAGCUGAUAUUUGGAAAAGGAACAACUCUGAGUGUUAGACCAGAUGAUCGUGAGGGCAGCCUCUGAUGGAGCCCCUUUAUGCUGUUUCUUCAACAUCUUUAAGCCCUUGGAAAUGUUAGGCUGGUUUUUGUAGUUGUUGGAGAUGUGUGUCUAACAAAUGGAAUCUGAACUAAAGUUUUAGUGUGUGGGGCAGAAGUCAUUUUGGAAGAAAGGAUAGAUUAGACUAAGGUACCUAGCAAAGCAGGGGUGCAAUGCAGCCUGAUCCAAAAGGAGACAGGGAGAUGCAGCUGAUUGAUGUACAGAACUGAAUGACUGCCCUCCGGUGAGCUAAUUGUCGCCCCAAGACCUCCAUGUUGGUGCAACUAGGAAAAGAACUGCUUAAUUCCCAGUCACUCUCAAAUUCUUGGAGCCACACCCGUUGGAUAAAGCCACAUGAGGUUUUUCUGGUGCUGACAUUGAUAACAAGCUGCUAUUUAGCGAAAGGGUAAGACUGAAAGCAAAUAUUCAAAAUAGUCAGAAAGAUCAUGAACUUGUGAAAAUCUGCCCCAGGAGGCCGUUAACCACUACAUUUCUAAUUGGGAUUUUUUAAAUCCUUGCCUUGGCUGAGCUCUGCAUCAGAGAACCCCCUUCUGAUACCCACUCACUUCUGUGCCCCUUGAUGAAAAGGGGCAACUAAGCUUGAAAGUGUGAGGCAAGGAUUCCCUCACCCAGCGUAAUAACACCCUUUCUCUCCACCUUGCAACACACAGAGGGAGAUUCUGAGGGCUGACCACCACUCUUAAAACAAAUCUGAUUGACUUGAAUGUAGCAGAAAUUUUGCUCCAUGAGGGCAUCUCUCUUUACUACAACAAAUGCUCAUUCCAGACAACUGUUUGGGGUUUAAGUUUUGCUUAUAAUUCAUAAAAGAUACCAACUACCCAAUGGACACCUUGAGGUCAAACUUCUACUUUCAUGGCCAAAUUAGUAUCCACAUUAGAAAGGCUAGAAUCAGGAUGUCCUAGUGAGUAUUAUGUUAGUUCCAGAUGACCUUCCUGAAGUCCCUUGUGCCUAAGACAGCAUGAGAUUAAAAAGUGUUUCCAUGCUGACCUAUGUGCUGAGUUGCUAAUUAGAGUUCAAAAAGCAGGCUGGUCACCUGCUAUGCUUCCAGACUGGGUUGGAUAUUUAGGGUCCUCCAGAUACUAGAAAUGAUAAUCAGAAAAAGCACAUGCUAUUCCUUUUUUAUUUAUAAUUCUCAUCUCUCCCCAAGAACCGUUAUAAAUUUUCUCCCAAAGGUGUUAUAUUCAUCCUUCUUUUGGCUCCUUUAUUUGUGAUGUGUACAGAGAUGAAAUAUUGGUUGAGAUUCAAAAAACAUCUAUGAGAUUUACCUUAAGCUUUGCCUGUCAGAGAGAUUCUAAGAGCUAAAAAGAUGGGAAGCUGACAUUUGGGGAUUAGAUUAAAAAGAAAAUUCAAAUUAAUCCCAAGGAGGAAUUCUCAGUAGAUGGUUAUUUAGAAAUAAGCACGUCAACCCCACAAGCCUAGUUGCUUGGUUGGCUGCACUGCCCCCAUCUUGGGCUUGCCUGGAAGAGUAAUAAUAACUUGUUCACCCCAGACCUGUCUUGGGAAGAGAGAAAUGUCACCCUCUAGCCCUAAAAACUCCUUCGGAAUUGGUUCAUUUCAAUAGCGUUUAUCAUUACACAUGGUGUUCUGGUAGUAAUAGAAAAGUGCAUUAGACGCUUCAGCAAAUGGAAAUGAAAUGUAAAUUUAGAUUGUAAAUAUAGGACUGCAGUAAAUAGAUAGCAAGGAAAAAAGAUGAAGAGAUUAGAAACUUGCCACAUCCCUCUAACCCUAAAGGGAUUGUUUCUAUAAAUAGUUUAAAAAGAUUGAAGAAGAAGGGGGAGGAAGAGGAGGAGAACAGAAGCAAACAGAUUUUCCCCUAAUCCUUUUCACUUUUGCAAAAUUGAAAAUCGUCUUUCAAUCAAUUUCCCCCAGCAGAAGAAAGAAACCAUGCCUGCUUUCACUUACUAAAGGGCGAGUGGGUAGGUGUCUGCUGGAACUGAUUCUGAGGAGGGCUCCCUGUUGGUAAUAAGACUAGCAAUGUCCUGGUUGGGAGGGGAAGGGAUUAAGUCCAGAAAUAAGUCCAAAUAGGUGUGCAGGAAAAAGAAGGGCUCGGAGGGCAGGAUUUCCCCUGGAUUUUCUGCCUUGACUUCUAAUCUUUUCUGUCUUGGCUGACAGAUUAGGUCCCAGACGAGCAGGCCCUAAGAUUCAAACUAGAACUUUCAAGGAGGGGAACUAGCUUAGCUUCACUCAGCAGACCUUGCGUAUUCUGACUUUAAAAGAUUCUUUUAAUUCGGCUGUUUUUAGGGAGAGCUCUGUAAAGGCUAAAGGGUAUUUAAAAAAAAAGAGAGAGAAGUUCCCAUUGUGGCACAGUGGUUAAAGAAUCUGACUAGGAACCAUGAGGUUGCAGGUUCUUUCCCUGGCCUGGCUCAGUAGGUUAAGGAUCCGGUGUUGCCGUGAGCUGUGGUGUAGGUCACAGACACGGCUCAGAUCCUGUGUUGCUGUGGCUGUGGUGUAGGCCGGCAGCUGUAACUCUAAUUAGACCCCUAGCCUGGGAACACACAUAUGCUGCAGGUGUAGCCCUAAAAAG
RNAcentral lists this long non-coding RNA (2894 nucleotides) under Sus scrofa (pig). RNAcentral describes it as "lncRNA (ENSSSCG00055030391.1)". The record is from RNAcentral. Lineage: Eukaryota; Metazoa; Chordata; Mammalia; Artiodactyla; Suidae.